Non-coding RNA from Podarcis lilfordi (Lilford's wall lizard), 75 nucleotides. The record is from the annotation of a GenBank genome assembly. NCBI's taxonomy places the organism in Eukaryota, Metazoa, Chordata, Lepidosauria, Squamata, Lacertidae.
GGAAGGGAUGUGGCUUAGUGGCAGAGCAUCUGCUUUGCAUGCAGAAGGUCUCAGCUUCAAUCACCAUUCUCUCCA